UUGUUUUUUUUAUAUUAAUUUAAUUUUUUGUCAUUUUUCUUUUAAUCACAUUAUUUGUGACAUUUUUCUUUUAAACACUUUAUCUGUGACACUUAAUUUUUUAACAUUUUAUUUUUGGGCAUUUUGUUGUAUAUUUUUUAUAAUUUUAAUAUACAUUUUACUAUGACGUUCAAUAAAUUUGUUUACGUUAGUUUAUUCUUGUUUUUGCAAGUAUUUUUAUCUAAUUAUAUAUUAUAUGAUUUUUUAAACAACAUUUUAAGUAAAACUAAUUAUAUAACAUCAUGGAGGAAUAUAAAAAGUAUAAACAGUAAUUACUUAAAAGAAUUAGAACAAUUCGAAAAUAAUAAUAUUUUUAAAGAAGAUGUUUUUAAACACUAUUUUUUUUUACAAACGAAUGAAAAUAAUAAUGUGAUAUUAGUAAAAUUAUAUAAACAAGAUAUACCUUCAAAAAAAAUAUCAACGUAUUAUGGACAAAUAUCAGUAGGAGAAAAGUUAGAAAAUAAAUUUAAAGUUUUAUUUGAUACUGGUUCUACUGAAUUCUGGAUACCUUUUGAAAAAUGUAAAGGACCCAAGUUUAAUAGUACACAUAACAAAUAUAAACGUACUAACUCUUUUAAAUAUAAUUAUGACAGUAAAGGAUUACCCAGCGUGUUGGAAGUAGAUUACUUGAGUGGAAAAAUAAAAGGAUUUGACGGUUAUGACACAGUAAACUUGGGUAUGGAUCUAGCUAUUCCCGAUACAAAUAUAGCUUUUGCGGUAUUAUUAAUAAAAUGUCGUUACUGUUGUUUGUUUAUGCCAUUUUUGUAGUUAAUUUU
Molecule: long non-coding RNA, 815 nt
Filed under: Piliocolobus tephrosceles (Ugandan red Colobus)
Lineage: Eukaryota; Metazoa; Chordata; Mammalia; Primates; Cercopithecidae
Description: lncRNA (ENSPTEG00000025944.1)
Source: RNAcentral